AAUUUUGGACAAUGGGGGAAACCCUGAUCCAGCCAUCCCGCGGGUAGGAUAAAGGCCUUCGGUUUUGAAAGUACUUUUGGCAUAGAAGAAAAGUUAUCCCCCAAUAGGGGAGACUCCUGACGGUCCUGUAACAAUAAGCACCGGCUAACUACGUGCCAGCCGCCGCGGUAAUACGUAGGGUGCGAGCGUUAUUCGGAUUUACUGGGCGUAAAGGGUGUGUAGGCGGUUCGGGAAGAAAGAUGUGAAAUCCCAGGGCUCAACCUUGGAACUGCAAUUGUAACUGCCGAGCUAGAGUAUGUCAGAGGGGGGUAGAAUUCGACGUGUAGCAGUGAAAUGCGUAGAUAUGUGGAGGAAUACCGAUGGCGAAGGCAGCCCCCUGGGAUAAUACUGACGCUCAGACACGAAAGCGUGGGGAGCGAACAG
Molecule: ribosomal RNA, 423 nt
Filed under: uncultured bacterium
Lineage: Bacteria
Description: partial 16S ribosomal RNA
Rfam family: Bacterial small subunit ribosomal RNA
Source: RNAcentral